UACGUAGGGUGCGAGCGUUAAUCGGAAUUACUGGGCGUAAAGCGUGCGCAGGCGGUUUUGUAAGCCAGAUGUGAAAUCCCCGGGCUCAACCUGGGAAUGGCAUUUGGGACUGCAAGGCUGGAGUGCGGCAGAGGAGACUGGAAUUCCUGGUGUAGCAGUGAAAUGCGUAGAUAUCAGGAGGAAUACCGAUGGCGAAGGCAGGUCUCUGGGCUGACACUGACGCUCAUGCACGAAAGCGUGGGGAGCAAACAAGGAUUAGAGUAC
This 264-nucleotide ribosomal RNA is filed under the name uncultured bacterium. Its description in RNAcentral is "partial 16S ribosomal RNA". It matches the Rfam family "Bacterial small subunit ribosomal RNA", at positions 524 to 786 of the family's 1533-position model. The record is from RNAcentral.